Grammomys surdaster is the source of this 537-nucleotide long non-coding RNA. RefSeq lists it as uncharacterized. Lineage: Eukaryota; Metazoa; Chordata; Mammalia; Rodentia; Muridae. The transcript has 2 exons. The record is from RefSeq and is a predicted model, not a curated record.
CGUCCCGGAAGUUGGGACCCUUAGACCGCUUUCCGUGGAUCUUGGGUGUGAGAGUUUUGGAGGCAGCUUGGUGGAUCCAGAUAGCUUUCCACGCAGUUCAUCUACUGAACGUGGGAAACACAUGGUGGCUCUUGGAAGUUGCUAAUGUCCUAACCCUGGGAGCUGCUUCACACUACAUUUCAUGGUUAAAGGGACAGUGCCAAUGUGCUGAAGAUUGUGAUGUGGAGAAAAUUAUCCUGGGUUGUUCAGACAGGAUUGAAGAAAUCACAAGGAUCAGAGAGGAAGAGGGCCAGAGUCUCAGAAGACACUGACAUUGGAAGCAAUGAAGGGGAGACCGGGAUGUGAUGGUGGAAGCAGAGACUCGUGGGAGACUGCGUGCAUUGCUGCCAUGAAGAUGGAAGGCGGAAGCCACAAAGUAAGGAAUGCAGGAAUUUCUAGGGGAAAAGCAAGAAAAAAAAUGAAUCUUCAGAAGCAUGGGCCAGCCAACACCUUAAUUUCAGCCCAUUGAAAUAAACUUUGAAGUUCUUAACUCUUGAA